AGAAAGAAACCAAACACAAAACUCUCUUUACUGAUUAGGUAUAUUUCGUUCUUCAGAAGAAAAAAAAAAUCUUUACCCAUUACAACACGAGAUUGAGAGUUUGGAUUGAAUAUUUCUAGUGUUGCUGAUCGUUGGCUAAUUGGGUUCUUGUAAAUUACCUGAUCUGGUUACAGGAAUAUCAAUGGAUAAGUUUGUGAUUAAGAGAAAGAGAAUACCGGAGGGAAAUUCCCUUCAUCUUCUAGUACUCCUGAACCACAACAGGUACCUUCAAUAAUUGAAAUACACUCAUCUUUUACUGCUCCACAACAAAAGCCUUCAAUAACCGAAGUACCUUCAUCUUCUACUGCUCAUGGUCCAGAAGUACCUUCUGCUGCCCCUGUUUCUAAUCCACAAGUAAUUUCCACUAUUAUAAAUGAGUUAUCGAUCUCGGACCUUCCAACAGACCCUGCAAUGUGAUGAUAUUGGUGAUUCCAUUUUUGCUAUUAUGGUUGACGAGUAUCGAGAUGUAUCUGUUAGAGAGCAAAUGGCAGUUUGUAUACGUUAUGUCAACAGGAAAGGAUGCAUUAUUGAAAGGUUCAUUGGCAUCAUUCAUGUUCGUGAAACGACGGCAAUUUCAUUGAAGAAUUCAAUUGAUGCUUUGUUGGCCAAGUAUGAUUUAAAUAUAAAUAGAUUGAGAGGGCAGUGUUAGAUGGUGCUACUAAUAUGCAAGGGGAGUACAAUGGAGUUAAGGCACUCAUAUUAAGAGAAAACUCAUCGGCGUAUGUUAUCCAUUGUUUCUCGCAUCAUCUUCAAUUGGCAUUAAUGAAUGUUGCUCAACAGCAUGGCGAGGUUGCAUUGUUCUUUACUAUAGUUAGUGAAGUUGUUACUAUUGUUUCUGCCUCUUGCAAACGCAGAGAUGUUCUUCGAGAAAAAGAAUUGGCUAGAGCGGUUGAACUUGUUGAAAAAGGUGAACGUUUAAGUGGCUCGGGAUUGAAUCAAGAAACUUGCCUCAAACGACCUUCGGACACGCGUUGGGGUACACAUUACAACACACUGCUGAAUUUAAUUUUGAUGUUUCCAUCAAUUUUAGACAUGUUGGAGAUUGUCAGUCGAGAAGGUGCUAGUGAAGCGAGGGGAAAAGCAUACGCUUAUCUAAUCUUGAUGCCGACAUUUGAUUUUGUAUUUAAUUUGCUUCUGGUGAGCACUUUGUUAGGAGUCACUAACGAGUUGUCGUAGGCAUUGCAACGGAAAGACCAAGACAUUGUGAAUGCCAUGAAUUUGGUCAAGAUAUCUAAAGAACAACUACAUACCAUGCGAGGUGGUGGGUGGGAUAGUCUUAUGAAUGAUAUUUUUGCUUUUUGUGCUAAAAAAAAUAUUGCAGUUCCUGAAAUGAUGUCUCCGUAUGUACCACUCGGGCGAGGUAUACGUAAUUUACAAGAAGAGACAAAUCUGCACCAUUUUCAAGUGGGUUUGUUUAACAAUGUCAUUGAUAUGCAAAUUGCAGCGCUUAAUGACCGUUUCGAUGAAGAGAACACCGAGUUGCUUCUUUGCAUGUCACAUUUGAAUCCAAACGAGAAUUUUUCAGCUUUUGACAAAGGUGCGUUAAUUCGUCUUGCCAAAUUAUAUCCAUCUGAUUUUUCUGAAAUUGAAAUCAUGAUACUAGAACGACAACUAGACACCUUUCUUCGUGAUGUGCUUUCUAGUAACGAUUUUUUUGAGUUGGAUGGAAUUAGUGGGCUUGCCAAGAAAAUGGUUGAGACGAAAAGAAAUAUAGUAUAUCCUCUUGUUUACUUGUUGAUUACAUUGUCUUUGAUACUGCCGGUUGCUACAGCUAUCGUUGAACGAGUAUUUUCUGCAAUGAAAAUAGUGAAGAAUCGUCUGCGAAAUCGUAUUGGUGAUGAGUAUUUGAAUGAAUGUCUAGUGACAUAUAUUGAGCGAGAAAUUUUCCGCAAUAUCAGUAACGAAAAGAUUAGGAAACGAUUUCAAGGUAUGGCAAAACGUCGUGGCCAUUGUUGAAUACAAUAAGACUUGGAUUUUUUGGUAAAGCAUAUAAGGCGUUCUUUUGGGUAACAAUACUGCAUAUAAGGUAGUUUUUUUGGACUUUUUAUGGAUAUUGGAAGCACUUCUACAUGAUGCAUAAAAAUAUAAAAUUAGAGAAACAGAUCUGAUUUAGAAUUAACUAUCUAACAUGUGUCUUGUGGUCUGUAUUUGUUGUUACGGAAACACGAGUGUUAUGAUAUAAUAUUAUAUUAGAAUGAAAAAUACUUUUGUUAGAACCUUCAGUUCUAUUUUUUUUGUUGAUUCAAGUAGUUGUUGGCGAAUUUGAUUAUUGCUUUCGAGGUACACAUACUUAUGGCACAAUACUUACGGAAUCUAAAUUUUUUAUUAUUGCUUUACAUAUAUAGAAACUAAGGUUGUAUCGUAUAGUCGAAAAUGCAUGUUUUUUGUGACUAACAGGUUGAGCGCCGCAGAUUAAUAAUAUACUACGACGCUGGAGACGAUGAUGGUCAAAUAACAUGCAUAAAAGGUAUUUGAGCCAAGAAGGGAAUAGAACUUGUAUGCUCCUCUUCCCAUAGACA
Papaver somniferum (opium poppy) is the source of this 2558-nucleotide long non-coding RNA. RefSeq lists it as uncharacterized. Lineage: Eukaryota; Viridiplantae; Streptophyta; Magnoliopsida; Ranunculales; Papaveraceae. The record is from RefSeq and is a predicted model, not a curated record. The transcript is spliced from 3 exons.